RNAcentral lists this unclassified non-coding RNA (455 nucleotides) under Hevea brasiliensis (rubber tree). Lineage: Eukaryota; Viridiplantae; Streptophyta; Magnoliopsida; Malpighiales; Euphorbiaceae. The record is from RNAcentral.
AGCCAAUUUCAUAAAUAGAAAUCCAGAUCCAGUACAUCACAUCUAAUGACAAAGACAAGGCCAAUCUCGAUAGAGCAUGAGCCACCUCAUUUUCAGUACGUCUAACUAAAGAGAAAGAAACGACCAUACAGUGAUGAGGCUCGGUGUAGAAUAUCAGCUAUUACUUGAAAGAAAGGUGAUGAACCAGAUGAUUGACCAGUCAGAGCAAGCCACAAUACUUUGCAUUAAACAGAAAAUAAGCAUUCUAAAUCCGUCGUGCCUAUUUCAAUAGAUCCUCUUCUCUAGUGUUCCAAAAAACCAACGGCUAACUCUUUAUUCAUCUAUAACACUUCUAAUCAUGCCAUUUCACAUACAACAAAUUUUGAAUCGAUCCAUACCCUAUAGCUAGCAACCACUCCAUCUUCUAUAAUUAUAUACAAGAUCACUCAACCAAAUAAAAAAAAAAAAAAAAGAAA